UGCAUCGGCCGGGAAUCGAACCCGGGGCGCCCGCGUGGCAGGCGAGAUUCUACCACUGAACCAAAAGC
RNAcentral lists this transfer RNA (68 nucleotides) under Cordylochernes scorpioides. Its description in RNAcentral is "tRNA-Gly". The record is from RNAcentral. Lineage: Eukaryota; Metazoa; Arthropoda; Arachnida; Pseudoscorpiones; Chernetidae.